GCUAGAACUACUGUUAUCACAUACAGUAUGUGGCCGAUAAACCAAACUAGUACUGCCAGUACUGGUGAGCAUUGUUUCUAUCGCAUGCACAUGUCCUCCUGGAGCCUGAUUGCCCCCUGCCACACACCUACACACGCACAUGCCACUUAUUGCUUCCCAGCCUGGUGAAGGGAUAAGGAGACGACCGGCCGAUUCCCCAGGCAAUCCCUAAUCUCUCAAUCUAAUCCUCACGACGCAUCACCGGCGGCGAGAAGAACUCUCGCCAUGCUCAUCCUCGGAGGGAGAGUCGCGGGGGCUGUGGGUGCCGUUCGCAAGUCCAAGAAGGCGAAGCGCAGCAGGGCUCCAUGUGCCGGAGCGGCCGGAGUGGCCGCUCGACGGUGGGCUUGCCAGCGGGACGCCGAGAGCCUAUGAGCCGACGGCGAGCGCUCGUGCGAGGCGAGGGCGGAGGAGUGGCCGGCGUCGGGGUCGGCAGGCGCGGCGCGACGGCGUCAACAUCGACAACCGCGUGUGGUUGGAGGAGCCGUUCGCGCCAGAGCCGAAGUUGAAGACGGUGGCUCCGGUCGAUGCGGACAUGAAGGCGAGCGCGUCGCCCUCGCGAACCUGCACGCGAGGUGCAUCCAGGGCGCUUGUCUCCAUUGGAGGCAGCAGAGUCCGGCGCGGUGUCGGCGGCCGUAGGCGCACGACACGGACACGGGCCCCAACCGUGGUACUAGCAGCAUCCCGGCGGCCGCGAGGCCUCGAGUUCCUGGUCGACGUCCUCAAGCAUUGGCGCCGUAGGACCAUUCAGGAGCCAGGCAGGAACCGCCGGUUUCAUAGGCUGCACGGCCGGCCCAAGUGCCUGCACCGGCAGCGGCGCGACAGACUGCUGCGCGGCCGUCGCAGUGUUCUGGUGGUGACGACGAGAGGUGCGAUACCCUCCUUCACCGUGGCGGCGGUAGCCUCCAUCACCGUAGCGACGUCCGUUGAAACGACGACGGGCGUUUGCACGGUUGAGGCGGCGCCGGUUCCAACCUCCACGCCGGAAACUUGACGCCGGAAGCGGCGGUGGCGCGCGGUGGAACGGCGGCGGCAGCCUUAGUCGCGAAGGAGUAGCAGGAAGAGAGAAAGAAGCACAGGCAUUGUAUUUCUCACCUUUUGGUGUUCUUCCUCGUCUACUUCUUCUCGCUCAGAUGUGAGCGUGCUGAUAAUCGUGUUGUAAUCAAAUGAAGCAAAAUGAAUGUCUUUAUUGAUGAGAGUGCUACUAUUUAUACAAAGCCAAGGGACGCCUUCUCAAUAGGCGCCCAUACAG
RNAcentral lists this ribosomal RNA (1288 nucleotides) under Triticum aestivum (bread wheat). RNAcentral describes it as "partial small subunit ribosomal RNA". The record is from RNAcentral. Lineage: Eukaryota; Viridiplantae; Streptophyta; Magnoliopsida; Poales; Poaceae.